CGAGAUUCCCCCAGUAGCGGCGAGCGAACGGGGAGCAGCCCAGAGCCUGAAUCAGUGUGUGUGUUAGUGGAAGCGUCUGGAAAGGCGCGCGAUACAGGGUGACAGCCCCGUACACAAAAAUGCACAUGCUGUGAGCUCGAUGAGUAGGGCGGGACACGUGGUAUCCUGUCUGAAUAUGGGGGGACCAUCCUCCAAGGCUAAAUACUCCUGACUGACCGAUAGUGAACCAGUACCGUGAGGGAAAGGCGAAAAGAACCCCGGCGAGGGGAGUGAAAAAGAACCUGAAACCGUGUACGUACAAGCAGUGGGAGCACGCUUCGGCGUGUGACUGCGUACCUUUUGUAUAAUGGGUCAGCGACUUAUAUUCUGUAGCAAGGUUAACCGAAUAGGGGAGCCGAAGGGAAACCGAGUCUUAACUGGGCGUUAAGUUGCAGGGUAUAGACCCGAAACCCGGUGAUCUAGCCAUGGGCAGGUUGAAGGUUGGGUAACACUAACUGGAGGACCGAACCGACUAAUGUUGAAAAAUUAGCGGAUGACUUGUGGCUGGGGGUGAAAGGCCAAUCAAACCGGGAGAUAGCUGGUUCUCCCCGAAAGCUAUUUAGGUAGCGCCUCGUGAAUUCAUCUCCGGGGGUAGAGCACUGUUUCGGCAAGGGGGUCAUCCCGACUUACCAACCCGAUGCAAACUGCGAAUACCGGAGAAUGUUAUCACGGGAGACACACGGCGGGUGCUAACGUCCGUCGUGAAGAGGGAAACAACCCAGACCGCCAGCUAAGGUCCCAAAGUCAUGGUUAAGUGGGAAACGAUGUGGGAAGGCCCAGACAGCCAGGAUGUUGGCUUAGAAGCAGCCAUCAUUUAAAGAAAGCGUAAUAGCUCACUGGUCGAGUCGGCCUGCGCGGAAGAUGUAACGGGGCUAAACCAUGCACCGAAGCUGCGGCAGCGACGCUGAUGCGUUGUUGGGUAGGGGAGCGUUCUGUAAGCCUGCGAAGGUGUGCUGUGAGGCAUGCUGGAGGUAUCAGAAGUGCGAAUGCUGACAUAAGUAACGAUAAAGCGGGUGAAAAGCCCGCUCGCCGGAAGACCAAGGGUUCCUGUCCAACGUUAAUCGGGGCAGGGUGAGUCGACCCCUAAGGCGAGGCCGAAAGGCGUAGUCGAUGGGAAACAGGUUAAUAUUCCUGUACUUGGUGUUACUGCGAAGGGGGGACGGAGAAGGCUAUGUUGGCCGGGCGACGGUUGUCCCGGUUUAAGCGUGUAGGCUGGUUUUCCAGGCAAAUCCGGAAAAUCAAGGCUGAGGCGUGAUGACGAGGCACUACGGUGCUGAAGCAACAAAUGCCCUGCUUCCAGGAAAAGCCUCUAAGCAUCAGGUAACAUCAAAUCGUACCCCAAACCGACACAGGUGGUCAGGUAGAGAAUACCAAGGCGCUUGAGAGAACUCGGGUGAAGGAACUAGGCAAAAUGGUGCCGUAACUUCGGGAGAAGGCACGCUGAUAUGUAGGUGAAGUCCCU
RNAcentral lists this ribosomal RNA (1501 nucleotides) under Escherichia coli. RNAcentral's name for it is "partial 23S ribosomal RNA". It matches the Rfam family "Bacterial large subunit ribosomal RNA", at positions 230 to 1769 of the family's 2925-position model. Lineage: Bacteria; Pseudomonadati; Pseudomonadota; Gammaproteobacteria; Enterobacterales; Enterobacteriaceae. The record is from RNAcentral.